GAGCAGACCCAUUCGCCGCCGCCUAUCCCUGCGCUACCUCCAUCCCUUCGCCGCCGCCCUCCCACCAAGCCGCCGCCGAUCCUGGAGCUACCUCCAUUCCUUCUGCGCCGCCGAUCCUGGAGCUACCUCCAUCCCUUCGGCGCCGCCAUCCCAUCAAGCCGCCGCCGAUCCUGGAGCCAUCUACCCCUGGAUCCCUUCGCGGGCGCCGAUCCCGUCGAGGUACCUAGCGGAUCACUUCCCGGGCACCGAUCCCGUCGCUAUGAAGACUGCAACCAUUUGAAGCCGCCGAUCCCCUUGCCAUCGUUGAUCCCUUUGCAACGUUCAGGAGCCGACGCCGAUCCCCUUCAGGAGCCAUCUGAUAUGAACGCACGGGCACGCCGAUCCCAUUCAGGAGCCGACGCAGGAUGAGGCAAGCCCCCGCGCGUCAAUCGCAGAGAGCCUCGCGAUGCAGGUACUGCUGCUGCCAGUCAGGAUGCAAGAAUCUGCUACCAAUACUGCAAAAGGAAGAUUUCUACAAUAACAAGAAGGAAGUAUUGUAUUUUCUCGCCAUUGCCCGUGAGGGCAAAAUUUGGUAACUGGUGCAUUGUUAAUGUUAUCCAUUAUGCCUUUCAUCACCACAACCCCCCUUCCUCCUAUAAAGUGGCAUCCUAUCUUUUCUCAAAUUCCUCUUCUCAACACAAAAAUCGUCGUCUAAAGGUCUUAUUAUUAUCAUGUUAAACGCUCUUUUUUGUUGACAUGUGUUCCUUCCCUUUUAUCUUGCAUAGGGAAAAUAGGGCCAGAGUAAAAUUUGUCAACUGCACUUUGUGAUGUUGGCGCUUGGGGUCAGAUGGUCCAUCGAUUGUAG
This 844-nucleotide ribosomal RNA is filed under the name Triticum aestivum (bread wheat). Its description in RNAcentral is "partial small subunit ribosomal RNA". Lineage: Eukaryota; Viridiplantae; Streptophyta; Magnoliopsida; Poales; Poaceae. The record is from RNAcentral.